RNAcentral lists this unclassified non-coding RNA (303 nucleotides) under uncultured fungus. Its description in RNAcentral is "partial contains 5.8S ribosomal RNA, internal transcribed spacer 2, and large subunit ribosomal RNA". The record is from RNAcentral. RNAcentral also lists the same sequence under 1 other name. Lineage: Eukaryota; Fungi.
AACGCACAUUGCGCCUUUCGGUAUUCCGGAGGGCAUGCCUGUUCGAGAGUCAUUAACAACCAGUUCAAUCCCUUUUUAGAAGUAUUUGGCGGAUUGGUUAUUGGUGAAUGAGGGGAUCCGUGCAUAACGUUGAAUCACCUCACCACCGAAAUUCAGAGGCGGUUUGUCCCCACGUUUUUGUGGCGUUGUAAAAGCUUUACCAGCACUAUUCGCUCGCAUCGUGGGUCCACUGCUUGCCAUUGGAGAAAUCCCCAUUCAUCAAAGGUUGACCUCGGAUCAGGUAGGGAUACCCGCUGAACUUAA